UACGAAGGGGGCUAGCGUUGUUCGGAAUUACUGGGCGUAAAGCGCACGUAGGCGGACUAUUAAGUCAGGGGUGAAAUCCCGGGGCUCAACCCCGGAACUGCCUUUGAUACUGGUAGUCUCGAGUCCGGAAGAGGUGAGUGGAAUUCCGAGUGUAGAGAUGAAAUUCGUAGAUAUUCGGAGGAACACCAGUGGCGAAGGCGGCUCACUGGUCCGGUACUGACGCUGAGGUGCGAAAGCGUGGGGAGCAAACAGG
This 253-nucleotide ribosomal RNA is filed under the name uncultured bacterium. Its description in RNAcentral is "partial 16S ribosomal RNA". It matches the Rfam family "Bacterial small subunit ribosomal RNA", at positions 524 to 776 of the family's 1533-position model. The record is from RNAcentral.